CCCUUAGAUGUUCUGGGUCGCACGCGCGCUACACUGAUGCAUUCAACGAGUUCUUCCUGGUCCGAGAGGAAUGGGUAACCUUUUGAAAGUGCAUCGUGCUAGGGAUAGACUAUUGCAAUUAUUGGUCUUCAACGAGGAAUUCCUAGUAGACGUAGUUCAUCAGACUGCAUCGAUUACGUCCCUGCCCUUUGUACACACCGCCCGUCGCUCCUACCGAUUGGAUGAUCCGGUGAGCUAUUCGGACCUGUGCAUUUUCCAUUGGAACUUGCGUGGGAAAGUCUCGCGAACCUUAUCAUCUAGAGGAAGGAGAAGUCGUAACA
RNAcentral lists this ribosomal RNA (320 nucleotides) under uncultured eukaryote. RNAcentral's name for it is "partial 18S ribosomal RNA". It matches the Rfam family "Eukaryotic small subunit ribosomal RNA", at positions 1470 to 1796 of the family's 1831-position model. The record is from RNAcentral.